This 253-nucleotide ribosomal RNA is filed under the name uncultured bacterium. Its description in RNAcentral is "partial 16S ribosomal RNA". It matches the Rfam family "Bacterial small subunit ribosomal RNA", at positions 524 to 776 of the family's 1533-position model. The record is from RNAcentral.
UACGUAGGGUGCAAGCGUUGUCCGGAAUUAUUGGGCGUAAAGAGCUCGUAGGCGGUCUGUUGCGUCGGCUGUGAAAACCCGAGGCUCAACCUCGGGCCUGCAGCCGAUACGGGCAGACUAGAGUUCGGCAGGGGAGACUGGAAUUCCUGGUGUAGCGGUGAAAUGCGCAGAUAUCAGGAGGAACACCGGUGGCGAAGGCGGGUCUCUGGGCCGAUACUGACGCUGAGGAGCGAAAGCGUGGGGAGCAAACAGG